RNAcentral lists this ribosomal RNA (773 nucleotides) under uncultured cyanobacterium. RNAcentral describes it as "bacterial SSU rRNA". It matches the Rfam family "Bacterial small subunit ribosomal RNA", at positions 49 to 871 of the family's 1533-position model. The record is from RNAcentral. Lineage: Bacteria; Bacillati; Cyanobacteriota.
UUACACGUGCAAGUCGAACGAAAGUUUUUAACUUUAGUGGCGAACGGGUGCGUAAUACGUGAGAAUCUGCCCUUAGGAGGAGGAUAACUGCUGGAAACGGCUGCUAAAACUCCAUAUGUCGAGAGAUGAAAAAUUUAUUGCCUAAGGAUGAGCUCGCGCCUGAUUAGCUAGUUGGUGAGGUAAUGGCUCACCAAGGCCACGAUCAGUAGCUGGUUUGAGAGAACGAUCAGCCACACUGGGACUGAGACACGGCCCAGACUCCUCCGGGAGGCAGCAGUGAGGAAUUUUCCGCAAUGGGCGAAAGCCUGACGGAGCAAUACCGCGUGAGGGAUGAAGGAUUUUGGUCUGUAAACCUCUUUUCUCAAGAAUGAAGUUCUGACGGUACUUGAGGAAUAAGCAUCGGCUAACUCCGUGCCAGCAGCCGCGGUAAUACGGGGGAUGCAAGCGUUAUCCGGAAUCAUUGGGCGUAAGCGCCUGUAGGUUGUUUAAUAAGUCUGUUGUUAAAGCCUAGGGCUUAACCCUAGAAAAGCAAUGGAAACUACUAGACUAGAGUAUGGCAGGGGUAGAGGGAAUUUCUAGUGUAGCGGUGAAAUGCGUAGAUAUUAGAAAGAACACCGGUGGCGAAAGCGCUCUACUGGACCAUUACUGACACUCAGAGGCGAAAGCUAGGGUAGCAAAAGGGAUUAGAUACCCCUGUAGUCUUAGCCGUAAACGAUGGAUACUAGAUGUUGUGCGUCAUGUACAGUAUCGUAGCUAACGCGUUAAGUAUCCCG